RNAcentral lists this ribosomal RNA (440 nucleotides) under uncultured bacterium. Its description in RNAcentral is "partial 16S ribosomal RNA". It matches the Rfam family "Bacterial small subunit ribosomal RNA", at positions 338 to 795 of the family's 1533-position model. The record is from RNAcentral.
CCUACGGGUGGCAGCAGUGGGGAAUAUUGCACAAUGGGGGAAACCCUGAUGCAGCGACGCCGCGUGAAGGAAGAAGUAUUUCGGUAUGUAAAGCUCUAUCAGCAGGGAAGAUAAUGACGGUACCUGACUAAGAAGCCCCGGCUAACUACGUGCCAGCAGCCGCGGUAAUACGUAGGGGGCAAGCGUUAUCCGGAUUUACUGGGUGUAAAGGGAGCGUAGGCGGUUUAGCAAGUCAGAAGUGAAAGCCCGGGGCUCAACCCCGGGAGUGCCUUUGAAACUGUCUAACUAGAGUGCAGGAGAGGUAAGUGGAAUGCCUAGUGUAGCGGUGAAAUGCAUAGAUAUUAGGAGGAACACCAGUGGCGAAGGCGGCUUACUGGACUGUAACUGACGCUGAGGCUCGAAAGCGUGGGGAGCAAACAGGAUUAGAUACCCGGGUAGUC